GACUCGCCCGCAUCGCUAGAAGGGCCAAAGGUCUCGCAAAGAAACCCUGACCGCUGUACAAUCUACGCAGUCCACGCCGACUGCUCCAUACCAUGCCCCACACCCGCCAUCUCCAGCCCGAGCAUUCCGUCGUCUUCGCCCGUUCCCUCCGGAUGCAACAACCGCCAAAAAUCGAUAGCCGGGUCGUCGCCGAGUCCCAUGCCCGUCAAGUCGAACAGCCCCGACUCGCUGGCACCAGGCACGCUCGACUGGAGCGCGUCGCGCGCCAUCGGGUCCUGCGCGACGAGCGAUUCUGACAUCCCGAAGCCGCUGCCGUCCGGCUCGGACGUCGAGUACGAGCCGCCGAGGCCAGCAAAGAGUGCUUCGAGUGCUUGUUGCGAGAGGGGCGCGGAAGGGAGGACGUGGGCGGACGGGUCGGGCAGGACAAAGGUCGGCUCAGACUCGUUGGUCUGCUCGGGGACCGGCGGUAGGCGCAGCGAGGUGGACGAGGAGGCAUUCGACGCGAAGAAGGGAGUUUUGCUCGUGGCAACGCUGGGCGUGACGACCG
This 547-nucleotide unclassified non-coding RNA is filed under the name Rhodotorula toruloides. Lineage: Eukaryota; Fungi; Basidiomycota; Microbotryomycetes; Sporidiobolales; Sporidiobolaceae. The record is from RNAcentral.